This 358-nucleotide unclassified non-coding RNA is filed under the name soil metagenome. RNAcentral's name for it is "partial contains 5.8S ribosomal RNA, internal transcribed spacer 2, and large subunit ribosomal RNA". The stretch from base 1 to 120 matches the Rfam family "5.8S ribosomal RNA", at positions 35 to 154 of the family's 154-position model. The record is from RNAcentral.
GAUGAAGAACGUAGCGAACUGCGAUAAGUAAUGUGAAUUGCAGAAUUCAGUGAAUCAUCGAAUCUUUGAACGCACAUUGCGCCCGCCAGUAUUCUGGCGGGCAUGCCUGUCCGAGCGUCAUUUCAACCCUCGAACCCCUCCGGGGGGUCGGCGUUGGGGACCUCGGGAGCCCCUAAGACGGGAUCCCGGCCCCGAAAUACAGUGGCGGUCUCGCCGCAGCCUCUCCUGCGCAGUGGUUUGCACAACUCGCACCGGGAGCGCGGCGCGUCCACGUCCGUAAAACACCCAACUUCUGAAAUGUUGACCUCGGAUCAGGUAGGAAUACCCGCUGAACUUAAGCAUAUCAAUAAGCGGAGGA